CAGGGAUUGCCCUAGUAACGGCGAGUGAAGCGGCAACAGCUCAAAUUUGAAAUCUGGCCCUUGGGUCCGAAUUGUAAUUUGUAGAGGAUGUUUUUGGUGCGGUAUCUUCCGAGUUCCUUGGAACAGGACGCCUUAGAGGGUGAGAGCCCCGUACGGUUGAAUGCCUAGCCUUUGUAAAACUCCUUCGACGAGUCGAGUAGUUUGGGAAUGCUGCUCUAAAUGGGAGGUAAAUUUCUUCUAAAGCUAAAUACCGGCCAGAGACCGAUAGCGCACAAGUAGAGUGAUCGAAAGAUGAAAAGCACUUUGAAAAGAGGGUUAAAUAGCACGUGAAAUUGUUGAAAGGGAAGGAUUUAUGACCAGACUUUUUCUAGGCGAAUCAUCCGGUGUUCUCACCGGUGCACUUCGUUUAGCUUAGGCCAGCAUCGAUUUUCGGGGUGGGAUAAAAGCUUUAGGAAUGUGGCUCCCUCGGGAGUGUUAUAGCCUAUUGUAUAAUACCGCCCUGGGGAUCGAGGUACGCGCUUCUGCAAGGAUGCUGGCGUAAUGGUUAUCAAUCACCCGUCUUGAAACACGGACCAAGGAGUCGAACAUUUGUGCGAGUGUUUGGGUGUUAAACCCUCACGCGUAAUGAAAGUGAACGGAGGUGAGAGCCCUUUACGGGGUGCAUCAUCGACCGAUCCUGAUGUCUUCGGAUGGAUUUGAGUAAGAGCAUAAAUGUUCGGACCCGAAAGAUGGUGAACUAUGCGUGGAUAGGGUGAAGCCAGAGGAAACUCUGGUGGAGGCUCGCAGCGGUUCUGACGUGCAAAUCGAUCGUCAAAUCUGCGCAUGGGG
This 828-nucleotide ribosomal RNA is filed under the name Seimatosporium lichenicola. Its description in RNAcentral is "partial 28S ribosomal RNA". It matches the Rfam family "Eukaryotic large subunit ribosomal RNA", at positions 69 to 922 of the family's 3401-position model. Lineage: Eukaryota; Fungi; Ascomycota; Sordariomycetes; Amphisphaeriales; Sporocadaceae. The record is from RNAcentral.